GACAACAUGGCCGAGUGGUUAAGGCGAUCGACUACUAAUCGAUUACCCUAGUGGUGCGCAGGUUCGAACCCUGCUGUUGUCG
This is a transfer RNA of Allomyces macrogynus ATCC 38327, 82 nucleotides long. It matches the Rfam family "tRNA". Rfam says of the family: Transfer RNA (tRNA) molecules are approximately 80 nucleotides in length. Their secondary structure includes four short double-helical elements and three loops (D, anti-codon, and T loops). Further hydrogen bonds mediate the characteristic L-shaped molecular structure. tRNAs have two regions of fundamental functional importance: the anti-codon, which is responsible for specific mRNA codon recognition, and the 3' end, to which the tRNAs corresponding amino acid is attached (by aminoacyl-tRNA synthetases). tRNAs cope with the degeneracy of the genetic code in two manners: having more than one tRNA (with a specific anti-codon) for a particular amino acid; and 'wobble' base-pairing, i.e. permitting non-standard base-pairing at the 3rd anti-codon position. The record is from Rfam. Lineage: Eukaryota; Fungi; Blastocladiomycota; Blastocladiomycetes; Blastocladiales; Blastocladiaceae.